RNAcentral lists this ribosomal RNA (429 nucleotides) under Bacillota bacterium. Its description in RNAcentral is "Firmicutes bacterium partial 16S ribosomal RNA". It matches the Rfam family "Bacterial small subunit ribosomal RNA", at positions 355 to 776 of the family's 1533-position model. Lineage: Bacteria; Bacillati; Bacillota. The record is from RNAcentral.
UAGGGAAUCUUCGGCAAUGGACGGAAGUCUGACCGAGCAACGCCGCGUGAGUGAAGAAGGUCUUCGGAUCGUAAAGCUCUGUUGUUAGAGAAGAACGUUGGUAGGAGUGGAAAAUCUACCAAGUGACGGUAACUAACCAGAAAGGGACGGCUAACUACGUGCCAGCAGCCGCGGGAAUACGUAGGUCGCGAGCGUUGUCCGGAUUUAUUGGGCGUAAAGCGAGCGCAGGCGGUUCUUUAAGUCUGAAGUUAAAGGCAGUGGCUUAACCAUUGUACGCUUUGGAAACUGGAGGACUUGGGUUCAGAAGGGGAGAGUGAAAUUCCAUUUGAAGCGGUGAAAUGCGUAGAUAUAUGGAGGAACACCGGUGGCGAAAGCGGCUCUCUGGUCUGUAACUGACGCUGAGGCUCGAAAGCGUGGGGAGCAAACAGG